Small nucleolar RNA from Pistacia vera, 99 nucleotides. NCBI's taxonomy places the organism in Eukaryota, Viridiplantae, Streptophyta, Magnoliopsida, Sapindales, Anacardiaceae. The record is from RefSeq and is a predicted model, not a curated record.
GUCUGCCUCUUAGCACAUCUUCUCCAGAUACUAAAACAGAAGUUUAAUGCUUGUACUCCUGUUUGUUUGGCUUGCAAGUUUGGCUCUUCUGUUACAUUG